Molecule: ribosomal RNA, 309 nt
Filed under: uncultured eukaryote
Lineage: Eukaryota
Description: partial 18S ribosomal RNA
Rfam family: Eukaryotic small subunit ribosomal RNA
Source: RNAcentral
CCCUUAGAUGUUCUGGGCGGCCCGCGCACUACAAUGGCGUGUGCAGCGAGUGCCGAAGUAGAGUUUUCCGAGGUAUUCUUGCAAUGCUCGUUUUGAUGGGGAUAGACCCUUGCAACUGUUGGUUUUGAACGAGGAAUUCCUUGUAAGCAUGGUUUAUCGUCCGACGCUGAAUGCGUCCCUGCCCUUUGUACACACCGCCCGUCGCUCCUACCGAUGAGUCGUCCGGUGAAGUUCGUAGACCUCGUGAUCGCGGAUCACUGGGGGAAGCAAAAUGAACCUCGCGGUUUAGAGGAAGGAGAAGUCGUAACA